AUCCUUUUGUAGUUCAUAAGCAUGAUAAUUGGGUUUUCAUGCUCAUGUGUGAGCUGUACCUCCCUUAAACCUUGUUAUGAUGUUGACACAUUACCUGUCUGACA
This 104-nucleotide small nucleolar RNA is filed under the name Pan paniscus (pygmy chimpanzee). RNAcentral describes it as "Small nucleolar RNA U13 (ENSPPAG00000019506.1)". It matches the Rfam family "Small nucleolar RNA U13". The record is from Rfam by way of RNAcentral. Lineage: Eukaryota; Metazoa; Chordata; Mammalia; Primates; Hominidae.